UGUCGCAGAGUAGCUGUUGACAUUACAGUUGCGCAGGAACUUUGUUGACUCUAGAGAACCUCUGGCAAAUCCAUAUCAACUUCCGAUGCUAGUUUCUACACCUACCAUGGUGACCAUGGGUAAUGGGGAAUCAGGGUUCCAUUCCGUACAGGGACCCUGACAAAUGGCUACCACAUGCAAGGAAGGCAGCAGGCAUGCGAAUGUCCCACUCCCGACGCAGGAAGGUAGUGACGACA
Molecule: non-coding RNA, 236 nt
Organism: Pelobates cultripes (western spadefoot toad)
Lineage: Eukaryota; Metazoa; Chordata; Amphibia; Anura; Pelobatidae
Source: the annotation of a GenBank genome assembly